GACGAACGCUGGCGGCGUGCUUAACACAUGCAAGUCGAACGGAAAGGCCCUGCUUUUGUGGGGUGCUCGAGUGGCGAACGGGUGAGUAACACGUGAGUAACCUGCCCUUGACUUUGGGAUAACUUCAGGAAACUGGGGCUAAUACCGGAUAGGAGCUCCUGCUGCAUGGUGGGGGUUGGAAAGUUUCGGCGGUUGGGGAUGGACUCGCGGCUUAUCAGCUUGUUGGUGGGGUAGUGGCUUACCAAGGCUUUGACGGGUAGCCGGCCUGAGAGGGUGACCGGCCACAUUGGGACUGAGAUACGGCCCAGACUCCUACGGGAGGCAGCAGUGGGGAAUAUUGCACAAUGGGCGGAAGCCUGAUGCAGCAACGCCGCGUGCGGGAUGACGGCCUUCGGGUUGUAAACCGCUUUCGCCUGUGACGAAGCGUGAGUGACGGUAAUGGGUAAAGAAGCACCGGCUAACUACGUGCCAGCAGCCGCGGUGAUACGUAGGGUGCGAGCGUUGUCCGGAUUUAUUGGGCGUAAAGGGCUCGUAGGUGGUUGAUCGCGUCGGAAGUGUAAUCUUGGGGCUUAACCCUGAGCGUGCUUUCGAUACGGGUUGACUUGAGGAAGGUAGGGGAGGAUGGAAUUCCUGGUGGAGCGGUGGAAUGCGCAGAUAUCAGGAGGAACACCAGUGGCGAAGGCGGUUCUCUGGGCCUUUCCUGACGCUGAGGAGCGAAAGCGUGGGGAGCGAACAGGCUUAGAUACCCUGGUAGUCCACGCUGUAAACGGUGGGUACUAGGUGUGGGGUCCAUUCCACGGGUUCCGUGCCGUAGCUAACGCUUUAAGUACCCCGCCUGGGGAGUACGGCCGCAAGGCUAAAACUCAAAGGAAUUGACGGGGCCCCGCACAAGCGGCGGAGCAUGCGGAUUAAUUCGAUGCAACGCGUAGAACCUUACCUGGGUUUGACAUGGAUCGGGAGUGCUCAGAGAUGGGUGUGCCUCUUUUGGGGUCGGUUCACAGGUGGUGCAUGGCUGUCGUCAGCUCGUGUCGUGAGAUGUUGGGUUAAGUCCCGCAACGAGCGCAACCCUUGUUCACUGUUGCCAGCACGUUAUGGUGGGGACUCAGUGGAGACCGCCGGGGUCAACUCGGAGGAAGGUGGGGAUGACGUCAAGUCAUCAUGCCCCUUAUGUCCAGGGCUUCACGCAUGCUACAAUGGCUGGUACAGAGAGUGGCGAGCCUGUGAGGGUGAGCGAAUCUCGGAAAGCCGGUCUCAGUUCGGAUUGGGGUCUGCAACCCGACCUCAUGAAGUCGGAGUCGCUAGUAAUCGCAGAUCAGCAACGCUGCGGUGAAUACGUUCCCGGG
RNAcentral lists this ribosomal RNA (1343 nucleotides) under uncultured bacterium. Its description in RNAcentral is "16S ribosomal RNA". It matches the Rfam family "Bacterial small subunit ribosomal RNA", at positions 28 to 1378 of the family's 1533-position model. The record is from RNAcentral.